This 253-nucleotide ribosomal RNA is filed under the name uncultured bacterium. Its description in RNAcentral is "partial 16S ribosomal RNA". It matches the Rfam family "Bacterial small subunit ribosomal RNA", at positions 524 to 776 of the family's 1533-position model. The record is from RNAcentral.
UACGUAGGGUGCAAGCGUUAAUCGGAAUUACUGGGCGUAAAGCGUGCGCAGGCGGUUUUGUAAGUCGGGCGUGAAAUCCCCGGGCUCAACCUGGGAAUUGCGAUGGAGACUGCAAGGCUAGAAUCUGGCAGAGGGGGGUAGAAUUCCACGUGUAGCAGUGAAAUGCGUAGAGAUGUGGAGGAACACCGAUGGCGAAGGCAGCCCCCUGGGUCAAGAUUGACGCUCAUGCACGAAAGCGUGGGGAGCAAACAGG